RNAcentral lists this ribosomal RNA (497 nucleotides) under uncultured bacterium. Its description in RNAcentral is "partial 16S ribosomal RNA". It matches the Rfam family "Bacterial small subunit ribosomal RNA", at positions 28 to 507 of the family's 1533-position model. The record is from RNAcentral.
GAUGAACGCUGGCGGCGUGCCUAAUACAUGCAAGUCGAGCGAACGGACGAGAAGCUUGCUUCUCUGAUGUUAGCGGCGGACGGGUGAGUAACACGUGGAUAACCUACCUAUAAGACUGGGAUAACUUCGGGAAACCGGAGCUAAUACCGGAUAAUAUUUUGAACCGCAUGGUUCAAAAGUGAAAGACGGUCUUGCUGUCACUUAUAGAUGGAUCCGCGCUGCAUUAGCUAGUUGGUAAGGUAACGGCUUACCAAGGCAACGAUGCAUAGCCGACCUGAGAGGGUGAUCCGCCACACUGGAACUGAAACCCGGUCCCAACUCCCACGGGAGGCAGCAGUAGGGAAUCUUCCGCAAUGGGCGAAAGCCUGACGGAGCAACGCCGCGUGAGUGAUGAAGGUCUUCGGAUCGUAAAACUCUGUUAUUAGGGAAGAACAUAUGUGUAAGUAACUGUGCACAUCUUGACGGUACCUAAUCAGAAAGCCACGGCUAACUACGUG